AUGGCGAUUAGUAAGAGAAAUGCAAGCCUUUUAUGCUUCACAGCCCUCAUGUUGGUGAUGGCCACUUUGAUGUUGCCUUGUUAUGCUGACCGAAAAGAAUACUGUGGGUGGAUUAAAGAUGGAUGCACCUAUCACAAGUGCAAGGAUUGGUGCGCUGGACAGGGUUACCCCAAGAGAUUUAAGUGUGUGGACGCCGAGAAUUGCUGCUGUUUGCUUACCGCCAAGCCCGGGGUGGAUGUCAUCCAUCGUUAUGAUUGA
Molecule: ribosomal RNA, 258 nt
Filed under: Triticum aestivum (bread wheat)
Lineage: Eukaryota; Viridiplantae; Streptophyta; Magnoliopsida; Poales; Poaceae
Description: partial small subunit ribosomal RNA
Source: RNAcentral